AUUGAACGCUAGCGACAUGCUUUACGCAUGCCAGUUGUACGGCAACACUGGCCCCUGGCUUGGUGGCAAGUAGCGAACGGGUGAGUAAUACAUCAGGACAUGCCUCAUAGUGGGGAAUAGCUCGGCGAAAGUCGAAUUAAUACCGCAUACAAUUUGCCAUUAGGCCAAAUGAAAGUAGGGGACUGUUAGAGCCUUGCGCUUUGAGAAUGACUGAUGGCCGAUUAGCUAGUUGGCAAGGUAAAUGCUCACCAAGGCGAUGAUCGGUAGCUGGUCUGAGAGGACGGCCAGUCACACUGGGACUGAGACACGGCCCAGACUCUCAUGGGAGGCAGCAGCGGGGAAUCUUGGACAAUGGGGGAAACCCUGAUCCAGCAAUGUCGUGUGUGUGAUGAAGGCCCUAGGGUUGUAAAGCACUUUUGUUCGGGAAGAAAGCUAGUCCAACUAAUAAUUGGGUUAGCGUGACUGUACCGAAAGAAUAAGCACCGGCUAACUACGUGCCAGCAGCCGCGGUAAUACGUAGGGUGCUAGCGUUAAUCGGAAUUAUUGGGCGUAAAGAGUGCGAAGGUCGCUUGGUAAGACUAUACGUUAAAGCCCAGGGCUCAACCUUGGGGUGCGGUAGUAACUGGCAAGCUAGAGUAUGAAAGAGGAGGGCAGAAUUCCAUAUGUAGCAGUGAAAUGCGUAGAGAUAUGGAGGAAUACCAAAGGCGAAGGCAGCCCUCUAGGUCAAUACUGACACUCAAGCACGAAAGCGUGGGGAGCAAACAGAAUUAGAUACUCUGGUAGUCCACGCCCUAAACGAUGUCGACUAAUUAUUGGAUCGGGAUCCUUUUCAGUAAUGUAGCUAACGCACUAAGUCGACCGCCUGGGAAGUACGACCGCAAGGUUAAAACUCAAAGGAAUUGACGGGGACCUGCACAAGCGGUGGAUGAUGUGGAUUAAUUCGAUGCAACACGAAGAACCUUACCUACCCUUGACAUGGUCGAGAUUCUGCUGAGAAGUGGAAGUGCUCGAAAGAGAAUUGGCCAACAGGUGCUGCAUGGCUGUCGUCAGCUCGUGUUGUGAAAUGUUGGGUUAAGUCCCGCAACGAGCGCAACCCUUAUCUUUAAUUGUUUGCUAAUGCCAUAGUUACCUUAAAGAGACUGCCAACGAGAAGUUGGAGGAAGGUGAGGAUGACGUCAAGUCCUCAUGGCCCUAAUGGGUAGGGCCUCACACGUCAUACAAUGGCCAGAACAAAGAGUUGCCAACUUGCGAAAGGGAGCUAAUCUCACAAAUCUGGUCCCAGUUCGGAUUGUACUCUGAAACUCGAGUGCAUGAAGCAGGAAUCGCUAGUAAUCGCGGAUCAGCAUGCCGCGGUGAAUACGUUCUCGGGUCUUGUACACACCGCCCGUCACACCAUGGGAGUAAUUCUUACCAGAAGUGACCAACCUAACCUUUGGUAAGGAAGGAAGUUACGAAGGUAAGGGUUAUGACUGGGGUG
This 1477-nucleotide ribosomal RNA is filed under the name Candidatus Tremblayella phenacoccinincola. RNAcentral's name for it is "bacterial SSU rRNA". It matches the Rfam family "Bacterial small subunit ribosomal RNA". Lineage: Bacteria; Pseudomonadati; Pseudomonadota; Betaproteobacteria. The record is from RNAcentral.